GGCAGCAGUCGAGAAGCUUCGGCAAUGGGCGAAAGCCUGACCGAGCGACGCCGCGUGAGCGAUGAAGGCCCUUGUGGUUGUAAAGCUCUGUCAGGAGGGGAUAAAGCACCGAGGUUAAUACCCUCUGUGUCUGAAGGUACCUCCAGAGGAAGCUCCGGCUAACUCCGUGCCAGCAGCCGCGGUAAUACGGAGGGAGCAAACGUUGUUCGGAUUUACUGGGUGUAAAGGGUGCGUAGGCGGCUUCGUGUGUCGGAGGUGAAAUCCAGCGGCUCAACCGUUGGACUGCCCCCGAAACUGCGAGGCUUGAGUCCGUGAGAGGUUGGUGGAAUUCCUGGUGUAACGGUGAAAUGUGCAGAUAUCAGGAAGAACACCCGUGGCGAAGGCGGCCAACUGGCACGGUACUGACGCUGAGGCACGAAAGCUAGGGUAUCGAACGGGAUUAGAUACCCCGGUAGUCCUAGCCGUAAACGAUGUCCACUUGGUGUCGGAGGUCUCACCCCUUCGGUGCCGGCGCUAACGCAUUAAGUGGACCACCUGGGGAGUACGAUCGCAAGGUUGAAACUCAAAGGAAUUGACGG
Molecule: ribosomal RNA, 578 nt
Filed under: uncultured bacterium
Lineage: Bacteria
Description: bacterial SSU rRNA
Rfam family: Bacterial small subunit ribosomal RNA
Source: RNAcentral